GAUGACUUCAUUUCCUAUGCCUGUUGAUUUGACUCUAAAAUCUGGAUCACUUUAAUAAUUAGCAACAAAAAAAAAUGUGAUUCUACUUCCUCAGACCACAGGCUUGCUACUAAGUGCUGGGUAAGCGAUGCUCUAGAGAGCAGACCCUAGAGAGGGUGGUAGAGAGUGUGGAGCUGGGUUACUGUGGUCUGCUUUGUGAUUAUGUUUCAGUUGGGUUCUUAAUAAGGUAGCUGGCAGUCAUUCAUUGUCAUAAUACUUUCCACUACAUCUUCUGCUCUAAGAUAUUCUUCCCAGAACAAGACCAAGUAUUCCAGAGUAUGCAUCUCUGGACACUAGGUGGGAAACCCCCUGGGUCUUCUCUCUUCUUCCAAGGGGUAAGCUACUGUGUAAUGAAGAGACUAUCUUAACUCUAUUGCCAUCCUGCCACAGAUCCAGCCUUCCAGUAACAGCAUCCCACAGAGAUUGGGGAGAGAUGAAAUUCUCUAAACAUAAACAUGGAUACACGGAACUCUAUAGUUUUACCUCAGUCUUUGAAAGGUGACACUUAAAGAAUUCUUCUACCAAAGCAGUAGGGGAGGGAGAGAAAGAGAAAGGCCCAGAGAAGGUCAGGUCUGAGAUCGUCAACUAGUCAGCAUCUGAGAGACACAGUAAGCCCACAGUCUAAACGCCCCAGAAGUUCCCACAUGCCUGGUGUGCUUUACCCUCUCAGAAAGGAUAGAGGUGCUAUUACUUCAGUUCCUGCCUCCAGGUUCCUGCCCUACUGGGGUUCCCGCCUUUGCUUCCUUCAUUGGUAAACUAUAAUGAGGAAGCAUAAGCCAAAUAAAUCCUUUUCCUCUUCACGUGACCUUUGAUCAUGAUGUCUAUCAUAGUAAUAGAAACCGGAGCUGAGACAGACAGUUACCACAGACUCACAGUUCAGCAAAUAUUCACGGAGCACCUGCUCUGUGUUUGGUGCUAUGCUAUGCUUUGACAGUUGCCAGGAUGAACAUGGCAUGCCGUUUCAUUACAGGGUGGUUCCAGCCAGGGACGUCAGCUUUUGUCACUGUCCCAUAGCUUUCUCCUGUUCACCUUUCACCCUCCUGUACCUCGAGUCACCAACUAGACUGGCCGUCAUUCCUGACUCUUCAUUUCUCUUGGUUGCUAUUACUCUAUUUUCUUAACAUAUGAGCUAUUUUUCCUAUUUAAAUUUUAACUUUUGGAUAUCUGAGAUAGAUCCUUAUAAAGCGUGUGUUAAAUGGAUGGCUGUCUUCUUAUUUUCUGAUGUAACCGGGUUGCACCUUAGAACGGUAAGGAGUUGAGAAAUUUCAAGGGCCUAACGGUAAGGAGUUGAGAAAUUUCAAGGGCCUAUAAAUCUCACCUGCCAUGUUAACUAUUUUGUGUCACUACAUAAUGUAUCAGCUUGGAGGACAUUUGUUUUAGGAGAUAAACAAGCAUAAUAAGGAGUGUCUUCCUUGUGACGUAUCUCUGUGGGCUUCACCUUGGAGCCCUGAACUUUGACUGAGAGUUCACCUGCAUCUGGACUACAUGGACAAGCAUGGGUCUCAGUCAUAUUUGCAAAUAUCUAAGUCGGGAGGAUACAACUGGAGCCGCAAGAGGGUGCAGGGAGCCUUCUCAGCAGAAACUGAACUGGACACAGGCAGAUGUUCCUUUGAACUGAAUAUGGUACUGAGCGCUGCUAAACUGUCAGUUCAAGGACUGCCUCUAUCAUCUCCAAGGAAAGCUGGUUCUGUCCCUUCUUGUCAUAAUUCUCCACAAUCUGCCCAGAGUUUGGAUUCUGCCUCUCCCACUGCCCCCCACAGCCCUGUCGUGCCUGCAGUGGUCAGAAAGACCAUGCCUUUCUGGCCAUGUGGAGCCCACACUCUACGGACCAUUGUUUCAUGGGGCCACACUGUCAUCCCCAAAGACGUCCUAUUAGGACACUUUGUCAACAGCUGUGGGAGGCUUCCCAUCCUAUGAAAGGAGGGAUGGGAACAGUCUUUGCACACAUCGGUGUAUAGGUCAUUCCAACAGUCCAACAAUACCUGAUUAUUCAAGAGACUCCAAUUCAUUUCCCUCCGCUCCUCCUCCACGGUUACUCUUGAUAGAAACCUAAUUUGCAGAAAAAUAGCCCCUGCCAGCUAACUUCUUCUCCGGAAAGCAUGCUGCUGACCCUGGAACUCUUGUCUCAGCGAGUCCUCAUUCUCCUUGUCAAUGCCUCAGUCUUGAAAAGCAGUCUUCUCCGUUAAAAGCCUCCCUUGGCCCCCUUGGCACCUUGUUUGGAAGAUGGUUUCUUUCCCUCCUAUUCUUUGCUUCUCUUUUUAACAUGUGUGCCAAAAUUGGCACUUUCCUUUCUCAGCUCGCUCCCUUUCGGGUAUUAAUGCAGGCAGCAAUGGAGAAAUGUGAGCGAUUUUUCCAGCUUCUGCACUCAGCCAGCCCAUGGCUGAUGGAUUGAAUGUAACAUGCUCUCCCUUACAUAUCACUAUUUAAGUGAAGCGCUUGGGCCGCCUGGUGAUGUAUGGUGUUAUCCAAAGCGCCUGACACAAGCAGGGAGCCAAGGCAGGCUCCACCGUCCUCUGCAAAAAUAACGGUGCUAAUGGCAUUUGGUGCAAAUGAGACUCCUGGAGAACACACUGGGCUUGUUUAUCUCCUUAUUAUUUCUCUUUGUCAAGCAGCCUUUCUCUUUCCUCUCUGGGGCUUCACAAGUGUGGCCUGCCAGGGUUAUUGGGGGAGGGGGAGAAGGUCUCAAAGAGCUCAAGAUUUUGUAACUAAUAUUGAACGCCAGGGAGAAUGGAAGCCAAGGUCAGGUUAAGAAUAAAGAAAAUUGAUUUGGAGG
Molecule: long non-coding RNA, 2812 nt
Filed under: Mus musculus (house mouse)
Lineage: Eukaryota; Metazoa; Chordata; Mammalia; Rodentia; Muridae
Description: long non-coding RNA chr13:107543938-107546750
Source: RNAcentral